GGUCCUGUGGCCCAAUGGAUAAGGCGCCGGUCUACGGUUGUAGUCACGGUACUUUACCGUGAUUUAGAGCCAUGAGUGCCGAAACGCACACACAACACUCCGUCGAACGAGCCGUUCGAGUCGCAAACCGGAGAUUCCAGGUUCGAUCCCUGGCAGGAUCA
This 161-nucleotide transfer RNA is filed under the name Ostreococcus lucimarinus CCE9901. It matches the Rfam family "tRNA". Rfam says of the family: Transfer RNA (tRNA) molecules are approximately 80 nucleotides in length. The record is from Rfam by way of RNAcentral. Lineage: Eukaryota; Viridiplantae; Chlorophyta; Mamiellophyceae; Mamiellales; Bathycoccaceae.